AUCUAGUUGACGAGUCCCACAUAGGACGAAACGUACAUCCUCGAU
Non-coding RNA from Trichobilharzia regenti, 45 nucleotides. Lineage: Eukaryota; Metazoa; Platyhelminthes; Trematoda; Strigeidida; Schistosomatidae. The record is from Rfam.